AGUGUUUGGUAAACAGCCAGGGUCCGGAGCUCUGGGAACAGCCUGAUUUAGCUCUUUGUUUAAGUUUUGUGUUAGAGGCUCCCAAGAAGCUGAUGCAGGGGAAAGAAAUUAACAACCAUGGCUCAUUCACAGCCAGGCAGCCAAAUGGACAGCUCUAUAAGACUCAAGCCGACAGCGGAGAGAGUGCAACCAAACAGCCUUGGCCCAGCUUUCAGAGGAGAACGUUAUUCACCCCAACUGCUCUGCAUCUGCCUGGAUGUCUGCCAAGAUCUCAGUCUUCUUUCCACCAAUGACCCCUCGCGCUGCUUCCAGAAGCCAAGAAAGUGGGCUUUGUCCUUGGGGAUUUAGGAGGCGGAGCGGCGCCCCCUUGAGGCCACAUGGUGGAGGCAGCGAUGAGACCUGGAGUCUAAAAUUCAGACUGAAUCACAGGAAGAAGCUAUUUACACAAGUCAAACAUGGUCCAAUCUUGGCAAUUUCAUAAGGUUCCAAUCCUUAAGGGAUCAAAACCUGGCCAACUGCUUCCACCGAGAGGUGUGCCUUUCAAUGCCAGGCUUGGAGUGUCCCUCUUUAUUUAAAAAGGAGAGGAUUCCACAGCAGAGCUUCUCAAACUCUUCCACCCAAAUCCCCUCACCACAGAGGGACAGGAGUCCUGGGCAUGUAGCCUAAAGCAGCCAGGAGAAAAAAACCUUGACCUUAAUUUUUUUAAUGAUUUCACAUGAAUCAGUGGAAUGUGUUUAUGAUAAAAUCAUCUCCUCCUGAAAUACAUGUGUAAAACUGCUGCCCCAGUUAAACGCACUUAGUCUAACCAAGCCCUAGGAUUGGCCUCUCCAGCAUGAGAAGCAUUUCCAGCACUCCAGCUCCCCAGCUCCCACUCUGGGAUCCCACCUCAGACCCUCCCACUUCCUUGCACUCUGGCCUCUCGCUCUUGACCCUGCUCCCGCCACGCUCUUUCCUCAGAGUCCAUCAGUCCUGUCUUGUCUUCACCUUGGUCUCUGCCAAGUGUGGGUCCAAGUCAUAUAUUUGGGCUGUGAUCACAGGAACCCCAAGCCCCAGACCUCCCAAAGCACCCUAUGGAGAGACCUUACCCUCCUGGACAGACCCUCUCCCCCCAGCUAGACCUCAUCCUCUGGGUAGACCCAUCUCCCCAACCAGAACUCACCCUCCUGAGUAAACCCCAUCCCCCUAGCUAGACUUCAUCCUCCUGGACAGAUCCCAUCCCCCCAGCUAGACCUCACCCUCUUGGGUAGAUGCAUCUCCCCAACCAGAACUCUCCUGGGUAGACCCCUUCUACCCAGCUAGACCUGAUCCUCUGGACAGACCCCAUCAUCCCAGCUAGACUUCUCCCUCCUGGACUGUCCCCAUCCCCCCUCCAGCCAGACCUCACCCCUCUGGGUAGACCCCAUCCCCCCAACUAGACCUCACCCUCCUGGAUGGACUCUACCCUCCUGGAGAUACCUUCCCCUCCUGGGUACAUCCCACGUGGCUACACACUCCUUCCCCUGUCAGCUUUCUCCCCCAGGGUUCUGGGCAGCAGAGUCUGUGAUAAAGGAUACUAAGUGAUUCCCCAAUACUUCCCGUUUCCAGCCUCCAGUGGGCUCUCCCUGGGGCUAACGGUUCUUUUUGCUAUUUCUCCAGGCUUUGCCUGAUGACAAGUAUACUCUGAGAGUGUCCUAAUGAUACAGAUUUUGGACCCUAUCCCAGUUCUACUGAAUCCAAGUCUCUGGGGGAGGAGUUGGGGCUCUGCAUCUGGACACCUUCCUGCAGGGUCCCUCCUGGGAGGCAAGCCCGGGGAGCACCGCUGAGGCUCGCCUCAGUGCCCAUCCUAGACCUUCAGCAGCUAGCAGAGGAUGUCCCCACCAUCCCUCAGCCCACACUCCCACUGUCGCCCCAGCCAGGCUUGGCACUGCCUCCUUUCUCAGAAGAUUAAGACCAUCUGCUGUUUCCCAAGUUUCCCACCCUCCACCCUAAAAAUUUCUCCGUUUCCCAGUCUUUCCUCGUCUCUCAGAAAAUAAACAUCUUCCCAGGCUGCCUCCCCAGUGGGUCUGCACUCCUUGCUGUCUUCCCAGCACCUGCCCUUCCAGCCCGCCCUCUGUGUGUCCAGUGUUUCCCUCACCAAAGGACUCGCUUUGUUUUUCAAAUUGGAGGUUUUGUCUUCUCCCUAAAAACCAAAACAUCUCCCUGAGAAGUAACUCCCUCAAGCUACUGAUACGGAAGGGGGGCGGGGAAGUGCUGGGAAGGGAAGGGUGUGGUCCCUGGCUAGGGCUCCACCCCCGGGCCUGUGCCCACAGACCUAGGUGAGGACAGGCAUUUCUGUUUUCGUGCUUAAAUGUUGGAUUUCCCAAGACUACCCUGGCCUACCACACCCUCAUUCUGUGCCUGUAAAAAAACCUGAGAGCUUAGCAGGCACGCACACAAGCCUCUGGACGUCAAGAGGAACACACCGGUGUAAGAGCAGACUGAUAGUGGCCCACGGCAGGCUGGCAGGCCAUCGACAGGCAGAACCACUCAGUGCAGCUGGAGGACAGCCUGGCCACGGAGCGGUCCGACUUCAGAGGGGAAAACCACCUCCCCACUCCGUCUCCCUUCUGGCUCCCCCAUCUGAGAGCUACUUCCACUCAAUAAAACCUUGCACUCAUUCUCC
RNAcentral lists this long non-coding RNA (2641 nucleotides) under Homo sapiens (human). RNAcentral describes it as "non-protein coding lnc-F13A1-3:8". The record is from RNAcentral. Lineage: Eukaryota; Metazoa; Chordata; Mammalia; Primates; Hominidae.